This 345-nucleotide unclassified non-coding RNA is filed under the name Hevea brasiliensis (rubber tree). Lineage: Eukaryota; Viridiplantae; Streptophyta; Magnoliopsida; Malpighiales; Euphorbiaceae. The record is from RNAcentral.
ACACCAUCAGAACUUGGGCUUGUACUCUUGUAGUUUCAUGUGUCUGAAGGUGCACGCUGUGAUUUCUAUUGAUGAUAAGGUCUGUGGGUUGCAUUUUUUCCCCUUUCCUGAGCAGCCAUGGCAGCAGCAAAAAAAAUGAGAAUUUGCAGUGUAUUUGAGAACCAGGUCUGGUCCAGUGGUUUUAUACAUCCUAAGUUGGGACAAUAUCAAUGUUGUUUACCAUUCAAAUUGUUAUCUGGACACGAAUGUUUUUGAGAGCUUGAAUACCCUUUCCAUUCUUGAAUUUAGCUAUCUCUCAUUUUCUUUUCCUGCAUAAUUCUGUGGGACAUCCAUGCUAUGGGCCGC